UGCCUCUUUCUUGGUGAUUUGAUCAUAAACAUUGUGUGUUGGCUCACAAACCUGGGAUUCCAUCAGGCAGAAUCCUGCCUGCAGGAGGGGGCAGGUGAGGAUGCUGAGGGUGCGAGCAUCUUCCUUUGUUGUCUCAGCAUCUCUUUUUGAACCCAGGCAUAAGAGAAGGCCCCUGUGUCAUUGAUAGGUUCAUGGCACAUCAACGAGUGUGACUGGGGAGUGCUGGCAAAUCUACAGUUGAACUGCCUAAUAAUUUGUGGCAUCAGAACCAUGCAGGAGACAAACAAAAUGACUUAGACCUUCUGUGUGAUCUCACGAGGGUUGUGUUGUAGGGCUCCUGUAAUAAGAAAUGGAGGUCUCAUCAUGUUUCCCCGGCUGGUCUUAAAC
RNAcentral lists this long non-coding RNA (387 nucleotides) under Homo sapiens (human). RNAcentral's name for it is "HSALNT0300126". The record is from RNAcentral. Lineage: Eukaryota; Metazoa; Chordata; Mammalia; Primates; Hominidae.